This 438-nucleotide ribosomal RNA is filed under the name Kitasatospora sp. 28(2011). RNAcentral describes it as "bacterial SSU rRNA". It matches the Rfam family "Bacterial small subunit ribosomal RNA", at positions 28 to 483 of the family's 1533-position model. The record is from RNAcentral. Lineage: Bacteria; Bacillati; Actinomycetota; Actinomycetes; Kitasatosporales; Streptomycetaceae.
GACGAACGCUGGCGGCGUGCUUAACACAUGCAAGUCGAACGGUGAAGCCCUUCGGGGUGGAUCAGUGGCGAACGGGUGAGUAACACGUGGGGAAUCUGCCCUGAACUCUGGGACAAGCCUUGGAAACGAGGUCUAAUACCGGAUACGACCUUCUCCUGCAUGGGGGUUGGUGGAAAGCUCCGGCGGUUCAGGAUGAUCCCGCGGCCUAUCACCUUCUUGGUGGGGUAAUGGCCUACCAAGGCGACGACAAGUAGCCGGCCUGAGAGGGCGACCGGCCACACUGGGACUGAGACACGGCCCAGACUCCUACGGGAGGCAGCAGUGGGGAAUAUUGCACAAUGGGCGGAAGCCUGAUGCAGCGACGCCGCGUGAGGGAUGACGGCCUUCGGGUUGUAAACCUCUUUCAGCAGGGAAGAAGCGCAAGUGACGGUACCUGCA